Molecule: non-coding RNA, 66 nt
Filed under: Chloropicon mariensis
Lineage: Eukaryota; Viridiplantae; Chlorophyta; Chloropicophyceae; Chloropicales; Chloropicaceae
Source: RNAcentral
UUUUUUUUUUUUUUUUUUUUGUGUUUUUUUUUUUUUUUUUAAUUUCAAAAAAAAGAAGAAGAAGGG